GACGAACGCUGGCGGCGUGCUUAACACAUGCAAGUCGAACGGUGAAGCUCCAGCUUGCUGGAGUGGAUCAGUGGCGAACGGGGGAGUAACACGUGAGCAACCUGCCCCAGACUCUGGAAUAAGCGCUGGAAACGGCGUCUAAUACUGGAUACGAGAUCAAGACGCAUGUUUAUGGUCUGGAAAGUUUGUCGGUUUGGGAUGGGCUCGCGGCCUAUCAGCUUGUUGGUGAGGUAAUGGCUGACCAAGGCGACGACGGGUAGCCGGCCUGAGAGGGCGACCGGCCACACUGGGACUGAGACACGGCCCAGACUCCUACGGGAGGCAGCAGUGGGGAAUAUUGCACAAUGGGCGAAAGCCUGAUGCAGCGACGCCGCGUGAGGGAUGACGGCCUUCGGGUUGUAAACCUCUUUCAGCAGGGAAGAAGAGAAAGUGACGGUACCUGCAGAAGAAGCACCGGCUAACUACGUG
Molecule: ribosomal RNA, 468 nt
Filed under: uncultured bacterium
Lineage: Bacteria
Description: partial 16S ribosomal RNA
Rfam family: Bacterial small subunit ribosomal RNA
Source: RNAcentral